CCCGGCAUCCCAGCCCCACCAGCACCCGGGAGUGGAGCAAUGCGGGCAGAUGGGGGCCAAGUGCAGUCUCUGGAGACAAGAUGGGAGUUGCUGUCCUUUCCUGCCUGCCCUCAGGAGAGAUCGCUCCCCACUUCUCAGAGUCCUCCUCAAUCUGGGAUGAGAAGAAAGAGCACUGACUACACUGAGCAUUCCUGCACCAUGCUGGCUGGAUCCUGGACCUCCCUCUGUCUUCUUCCCCUCAUCUGGCAAAUGGGUACAAUGUCCCCUUUAAGCACUCUGAGGCAUUUCUCUGAGGGUGAAGUGAGACGGUGCGUUUUAAAAAUUCAUACCCACUUCAUUCCACAGUGCAUUUGGGGCAGCUUCUAAA
RNAcentral lists this long non-coding RNA (367 nucleotides) under Heterocephalus glaber (naked mole-rat). Its description in RNAcentral is "lncRNA (ENSHGLG00100041729.1)". Lineage: Eukaryota; Metazoa; Chordata; Mammalia; Rodentia; Bathyergidae. The record is from RNAcentral.